AGCAGCCGCGGUAAUUCCAGCUCCAAUAGCGUAUAUUAAAGUUGUUGCAGUUAAAAAGCUCGUAGUUGAAUUUCGGGACCAAUCUGCCGGUCGUGCCUCCGGUAUGCACUGGUUUUAUUGGUUUCUCCCUUCUGACGAAUCAUGAUGUCAUUAAUUUGGUGUCAUGGGGAAUCAGGACUGUUACUUUGAAAAAAUUAGAGUGUUUAAAGCAGGCUCACGCUUGAAUACAUUAGCAUGGAAUAAUGAAAUAGGACGUUUGACCCUAUUUUGUUGGUUUCUAGGAUCGACGUAAUGAUUAAUAGGGAUAGUUGGGGGCAUUAGUAUUCAAUUGUCAGAGGUGAAAUUCUUGGAUUUAUUGAAGACUAACUACUGCGAAAGCAUUUGCCAAGGAUGUUUUCAUUAAUCAAGAACGAAAGUUAGGGGAUCGAAGACGAUCAGAUACCGUCGUAGUCUUAACCAUAAACUAUGCCGACUAGGGAUCGGAUGAUGUUAAUUUUUUUAGUGACUCAUUUCGGCGCCU
This 520-nucleotide ribosomal RNA is filed under the name uncultured Glomus. Its description in RNAcentral is "SSU rRNA". It matches the Rfam family "Eukaryotic small subunit ribosomal RNA", at positions 569 to 1088 of the family's 1831-position model. Lineage: Eukaryota; Fungi; Glomeromycota; Glomeromycetes; Glomerales; Glomeraceae. The record is from RNAcentral.